GUCCACGCCGUAAACGAUGGAUACUAGCUGUUCGGGAGCAAUUCUGAGUGGCUAAGCGAAAGUGAUAAGUAUCCCACCUGGGGAGUACGUUCGCAAAGAAUGAAACUCAAAGGAAUUGACGGGGCCCGCACAAGCGGUGGAGCAUGUGGUUUAAUUCGAUGAUACGCGAGGAACCUUACCAGGGCUUAAAUGUAGUCUGACAGGACCGGAAACGGUUUUUCUUCGGACAGAUUACAAGGUGCUGCAUGGUUGUCGU
Molecule: ribosomal RNA, 256 nt
Filed under: uncultured bacterium
Lineage: Bacteria
Description: partial 16S ribosomal RNA
Rfam family: Bacterial small subunit ribosomal RNA
Source: RNAcentral